AACGACGAUGAUUCAGUGUAAAUUGGUACGUGAAAUGAUGGUA
This 43-nucleotide non-coding RNA is filed under the name Trypanosoma brucei brucei. Lineage: Eukaryota; Euglenozoa; Kinetoplastea; Trypanosomatida; Trypanosomatidae. The record is from RNAcentral.